AAAUCAUUACAAAGCCUUACAAAUUCCACACGAACCAGCCAAAGACAACAGUGGAGAGGAAAACUCAUAACCUGAGAUGUUAAAGUAGAUAGGAAGAAAUGUUGGGAGGAGCUCAGCUCAUCAGUCUGGCAUCUCUACCAAUUGACCAUUUGCAAAGAGCUUGAAUGACAGGCGAUCUGACCAAUCAUAACACAGAAUCCGCCAUUUUGUCCAACAAACAAAUCAGAUAGGAGUUUAGAUGAACUUUGAUGGACUUAAACUUGGAAAGUUGUGUGUACUGACGUCUUUCCACGGUUGAAAUAAAAUAAGUUCUGAUGUGCAUUCAUGUUCAUUCAUGUUCAUGUUGCACUUUAAGUACAAAUGUAAAGACAAGUGGUUCACAUGCUGCUUGAACUGAGACAAUACCACAAUCCGUCACGACAAAUUAAAGAGCUACAAAAAGAAAGGCCUAGUGGAAACAUGAUUCAUCUAAACUACAGGAAACCUGAUAUUAAUCAAAGUAUGGCAUUAUGGGUGAGUUGCUUACGGUUCUUAAGCUUUCAAUGAAAGAGAUGUCAAUUUGUUCAGUGCUUAAAAAAAAAAAAAAAAAAAAAACUUGCUUUGGCAUUGACUCUAGAAGUUUUGGCUUGAUCAAAUUGGCAUGAAAAGAAGAACCACUGCUGUAAGGCAUCCAUCCGAAGCCAAUUAUGCCUACCCGUGCUCCUGACAGUUACAGUUACUACUACUAUGGUUGUGGUUUCUACAGUCAGGGAUGGGCAGUAUUUAUGAUACAUGUAUUUCAAAUACAAAAUAGUAUUUUGUAAUUUGUAUUUGAUAGGGUUGAUAUAAAUGGCUAUGUAUUAUGUAUCAAAAUACUUCAGUGUUUUGUAUUUUUGAAGCUUUAAAAUACUGUAAAAUACUUUGUAAGAAGUCUACAUGAUGACAUCAUAAAAAUGUGGCCACUGAUUGGUGCCUACUCAAUAGGCUAGUUUGCUCAGACUUGUUGAGAUCAUAACAGAAAAUUGAUGCAUAUGGAAGAAGGUGGUCAAGGUAAGAAACGUGCAGGCUGCCAGCUUCCCAUAAUUUUUUUUUGCAUAAAUUGCUUUAAUUUUUAACAGUUCAUGUUAAGUUUUGGUGUUUGUUUUAGUAGCCUAGGCUAAAUAGUUUACCAAUUAACAAUGUUCUUGAAAACUAUUAUACCGAGCAGCAGCCCCACAAUUAACAUUAGCUUGCUACUUUCAGCCUAUGUUAAGUUCGGCGGUUGUACACAAAAAAUAAAUAAAUUAAUUAAUUAAUUAAAAAUAAUAAU
Long non-coding RNA from Cyprinus carpio (common carp), 1288 nucleotides. The record is from Ensembl. Lineage: Eukaryota; Metazoa; Chordata; Actinopteri; Cypriniformes; Cyprinidae.